GAUGAACGCUGGCGGCGUGCCUAAUACAUGCAAGUCGAGCGAACAGAUGAGGAGCUUGCUCCUCUGACGUUAGCGGCGGACGGGUGAGUAACACGUGGAUAACCUACCUAUAAGACUGGGAUAACUUCGGGAAACCGGAGCUAAUACCGGAUAAUAUAUUGAACCGCAUGGUUCAAUAGUGAAAGACGGUUUUGCUGUCACUUAUAGAUGGAUCCGCGCCGCAUUAGCUAGUUGGUAAGGUAACGGCUUACCAAGGCAACGAUGCGUAGCCGACCUGAGAGGGUGAUCGGCCACACUGGAACUGAGACACGGUCCAGACUCCUACGGGAGGCAGCAGUAGGGAAUCUUCCGCAAUGGGCGAAAGCCUGACGGAGCAACGCCGCGUGAGUGAGGAAGGUCUUCGGAUCGUAAAACUCUGUUAUUAGGGAAGAACAAAUGUGUAAGUAACUAUGCACGUCUUGACGGUACCUAAUCAGAAAGCCACGGCUAACUACGU
This 496-nucleotide ribosomal RNA is filed under the name uncultured bacterium. RNAcentral's name for it is "partial 16S ribosomal RNA". It matches the Rfam family "Bacterial small subunit ribosomal RNA", at positions 28 to 506 of the family's 1533-position model. The record is from RNAcentral.